RNAcentral lists this ribosomal RNA (253 nucleotides) under uncultured bacterium. RNAcentral describes it as "partial 16S ribosomal RNA". It matches the Rfam family "Bacterial small subunit ribosomal RNA", at positions 524 to 776 of the family's 1533-position model. The record is from RNAcentral.
UACGGAGGGUGCAAGCGUUAUCCGGAUUCACUGGGUUUAAAGGGUGCGUAGGCGGGUUGGUAAGUCAGUGGUGAAAUCUUCAAGCUUAACUUGGAAACUGCCGUUGAUACUAUCAAUCUUGAAUAUUGUGGAGGUAAGCGGAAUAUGUCAUGUAGCGGUGAAAUGCUUAGAUAUCGUAAGGAAGACCAGUGGCGAAGGCGGGUCUCUGGACAGUUCCUGACGCUGAGGCACGAAAGCGUGGGGAGCGAACAGG